This is a small nuclear RNA of Cercocebus atys (sooty mangabey), 98 nucleotides long. The record is from Ensembl. NCBI's taxonomy places the organism in Eukaryota, Metazoa, Chordata, Mammalia, Primates, Cercopithecidae.
GUGUACAUAUACUUUAAAAAACUGGAAUGAUACAGAGAAGAUUAGCAUGGCCCUUGCGCAAGCAUGACAUACAAAUUCAUGAAGCAUUCCAUACUAAA